Molecule: ribosomal RNA, 253 nt
Filed under: uncultured bacterium
Lineage: Bacteria
Description: partial 16S ribosomal RNA
Rfam family: Bacterial small subunit ribosomal RNA
Source: RNAcentral
UACGUAGGGGGCAAGCGUUGUCCGGAAUCAUUGGGCGUAAAGCGCGUGUAGGCGGCUCGAUAAGUCUGCUGUGAAAGUCCAGGGCUCAACCCUGGGAUGCCGGUGGAUACUGUCGAGCUCGAGUCCGGAAGAAGCGAGUGGAAUUCCUGGUGUAGCGGUGAAAUGCGCAGAUAUCAGGAGGAACACCAAUGGCGAAGGCAGCUCGCUGGGACGUGACUGACGCUGAGACGCGAAAGCGUGGGGAGCAAACAGG